AGAGUUUGAUCCUGGCUCAGGAUGAACGCUGGCGGCGUGCUUAACCCAUGCAAAUUGAACGAUGAUUCCAGCUUGCUGGGGGAUUAGUGGCGAACGGGUGAGUUACCCGUGAGUAACCUGCCCUUGGCUUUGGGAUAAACCUGGGAAACUGGGUUUAAUACCGGAUAUGGCCGCUCUGACGCAUGUCAGGUGGUGGAAAGCUUUUGUGGUUUUGGAUGGACUCGCGGCCUAUCAGCUUGUUGGUGGGGUAAUGGCCUACCAAGGCGACGACGGGUAGCCGGCCUGAGAGGGUGACCGGCCACACUGGGACUGAGACACGGCCCAGACUCCUACGGGAGGCAGCAGUGGGGAAUAUUGCACAAUGGGCGCAAGCCUGAUGCAGCGACGCCGCGUGAGGGAUGACGGCCUUCGGGUUGUAAACCUCUUUCAGUAGGGAAGAAGCGAAAGUGACGGUACAC
This 458-nucleotide ribosomal RNA is filed under the name Actinomycetales bacterium RHF75. Its description in RNAcentral is "bacterial SSU rRNA". It matches the Rfam family "Bacterial small subunit ribosomal RNA", at positions 8 to 480 of the family's 1533-position model. The record is from RNAcentral. Lineage: Bacteria; Bacillati; Actinomycetota; Actinomycetes; Actinomycetales.